UACAGAGGUCUCAAGCGUUGUUCGGAUUCAUUGGGCGUAAAGGGUGCGUAGGCGGCGCGGUAAGUCGGGUGUGAAAUCUCGGGGCUUAACUCCGAAACUGCAUUCGAUACUGCCGUGCUUGAGGACUGGAGAGGAGACUGGAAUUUACGGUGUAGCGGUGAAAUGCGUAGAUAUCGUAAGGAAGACCAGUGGCGAAGGCGGAUCUCUGGACAGUUCCUGACGCUGAGGCGCGAAAGCGUGGGUAGCAAACGGG
This 253-nucleotide ribosomal RNA is filed under the name uncultured bacterium. Its description in RNAcentral is "partial 16S ribosomal RNA". It matches the Rfam family "Bacterial small subunit ribosomal RNA", at positions 524 to 776 of the family's 1533-position model. The record is from RNAcentral.